GCUUUCUUAAUUUCAAUUUCUAUCCUUAUAUCCUAAUCAUACGUUUAACGAUUCCUAAGACGUAGAAAAUUUAUCACCUUGCCGAUAUUAGCCAUUUACAAUCUUAAUUAUAGUUCAUCUUAAAAUAUUUUUCUUGGCAAACGAGACAGAGUGGCGGAACGACCGGUUGUACGAGGGCGAUUUCUCGAAUACGUUUCGUAAUUGCACGAAAAAAAGAUGAAGAAGAAGAAGAAGAAAAAGAAGAGGAAGAAGAAGAAGUAGUAGUAAUAGUAGUAACGAAGAAGGAAGAGAGAGGGAGGGAGAGAGAGAGAGAGAGAGAGAGAGAGAGAGAGAGAAGAAAAGAGAAGAAAAAAAGAAAAGAAACGAAGAGAAGAGAGAAGAUAAGAGAAGAGCGUAAGCCCUAAAAGGCACCGUAAAAGAAUCGACCGACAAAUUGUCGCAAGCGGAUACACCUGCCCUAUCGUCCUCACAAGGAACGCGUACUCUAUACGAUGAGAUGGCCCGGUCGUUGAGAGAUGUCCGCGAAUGCUUAAUUAAUAUCUGGGUCAGAAUACGGGGAGCGGCUUUAAUUACCCAUAGCUACCGGCGACUAAUGAUAAAUACGAGUUUUGCACCGUGUGCCAGAACGCCUGCGUGUCCCUUCUUUUCCCUCUUGGCAUUCGUUAUAUCUUCUCGCGAAGGCUACCGGCCAAGAAACAUUUCACGUGACUUUACACGAUAUAUAGAAGUAUUCCUCAGCGAGGAUACUGGACCCAUCGCAAGACCGGUUUGGUAAGAGUCAACUGAUCGUUCAGGCAAGAAACAACUGAAUCAUCGUAUCCCCUAUUCUUCGAAGGCAGGAUCGGUACGAGCAUUGCUACGUCAGCAUACUAAAAUUUCAGAAGCUUGAACGUUGUGAAGGUGCCGCCGAAAAACAUGACGACGAAGACGAAUUUCUAAAGGUUCGAUUAAACGAUCUGUCGACGUAAAAAGAUAACUUUAAGCUGAUAAAUUCAUUAAAUAAAGAGGUACCGUAAAGAAAGAGAUAGAUAGAUAGGUAGAUAUAACGGAUGUGAUAAAAAAGAAAGAAAGUUGGGUUCGUUUCUGCGCGUCCAUCCUGUUCCUCGACGAUAACACGAGUGGAGCACAAUGGACACGAAGAUGCGGGACCUCUGCCAAACAGGUUGUGAGGGAAUGGAUUACGUGAAUCACGCUCGUAUCGCGUGCAAUGCAACGAGAGCACCUGUACGCACACGUUUAUACGAGUAUCUACAUACGAAUAACCAAAAGGGGAAACUGAGAGUCAUGUAGGUGAAAUUAAAAUUACAUAAACUUUGCGUAUAUUUUCGUUCGAGAAAACAUCGUCGUCUUUCAACCAAUCCCGAUUAUAUUCGAUUAUAUUCGACAAAAUGAAAUACAAAUACAAUGAGAAGGGAAUUAACAUAUAAUUAAAUAUGUAAAUAUACACGAUAUUUGUAGCUGAACUUUUGAACUUAAUGCUUGACAAUUUGAAGCGUCAUUGGGUAUAUCGAGUAAACAUAACGUUUAUAAGCAAAGCGAUUAAUAUUAUUCAAAGAUUCGAUUGAUUUAGAUUCCAAUAUUAAUAGGUGCAUUCGAAUUAGCACCAUAGCCAUAUCUAUUUUCGAUUUCUCGACUAACCCCUGACCUUAAGCUUGACAAUGUCGAAUCGUUCGAUGCGAUGAAGUUCGCAAGGGAAUUAACGGUGUCGGGGAUAAAUAUCAAAUUUGUGGGAGACGAAACGGGUAACGACGGAUACGGAAAAGCGAGCGUUAAGUGCACACAGACGUCUCAAGUGGUAAGUAUACCCACGGGAUAUAACCGAGUCUAUGGGAAAGUGCCGGUAAGCCAUGCUGCCCGAGCGAGUGCCUACUUUGGAAGAUUACUUCGAUACGCGUACACUUAGAUCUGGGUAUCCAUUCAGGUGCCUGUGGAGAAUUCUAACCGGUUUUGAGCGCUGCUGGUAGCCGACAUUCACCCCUCGCGAUUGCGAUCCCUACGGUCAAAUCAAGAGAGUAAAUUAUUCCUCUCUAUUAAUCCCUCUGCAAUCCAUCCUACAUCCUGUUUAUGCGAUACACGGAGGACGUUUAUGCCUUAAAAAUUUUAUAAAUAAGA
Molecule: long non-coding RNA, 2112 nt
Organism: Vespa mandarinia (Asian giant hornet)
Lineage: Eukaryota; Metazoa; Arthropoda; Insecta; Hymenoptera; Vespidae
Source: RefSeq, a predicted model, not a curated record